Molecule: non-coding RNA, 643 nt
Organism: Thunnus maccoyii (southern bluefin tuna)
Lineage: Eukaryota; Metazoa; Chordata; Actinopteri; Scombriformes; Scombridae
Source: the annotation of a RefSeq genome assembly
AUAAAUUUGCUGAUUUUUUUAAAAUCCUGACUUUUAUAUCUGUCCUGUAGGUGGAGCUGGAGCUCCAGAAAUACUCAACACAUGUAACACUGUGAAACUUAUGAAGCUGCUUUAGAGGGGAAGGUGUUAGGUGUCUUUAGUAACUCUUGUAUAACUAAAGAGCUUAGAGUCACUCAGUGUUCACUGUUCAUUCAGAAAACAAGUCAACAUGCUCACAUUAUUCUUUUUUUCUUGGCUCCUUGGUGUUUGUCUGGCUGUUGAAGUCUACCAGAGUCCUUCAGCUCUACUCAGAAAACCUGGAGACAAAGUCCAGCUGGUCUGCAGUCAUGAAAAAACUGACUACAGACUCAUGCAGUGGUACCAGAAAUCCCCUGGAGACCGAGCUCUGAAACGCAUUGGACAUGUGUAUCAAAAGAGCAUAGAGCACGAGGAGCCUUUCAGAGAACAUUUUAAUAUCACUGGAGACAUGAGUGGAGACAAAGCAAAGAACAGUUCUCUGUUUAUAACCAACCUAAAGACACCUGAGCACACUGCAGUGUACUACUGUGCAGCUAGCUAUGCACACUGACUACAGAUCCUCUCUGCUUCAUACAAAAACUCUGAAACAACUUUUAUCAACUAUUAUGCUUUUGAAUGGGAACUU